UGUACAAUGGGCAGCAAGCCUGNUGACGCAACGCCGCGUGGAGGAUGAAGGUCUUCGGAUUGUAAACUCCUGUUGCCCGGGACGAACGGCUCCAACCUAACACGUUGGAGUGUGACGGUACCGGGUGAGGAAGCCCCGGCUAACUCUGUGCCAGCAGCCGCGGUAAUACAGAGGGGGCAAGCGUUGUUCGGAAUUACUGGGCGUAAAGGGCGCGUAGGCGGCCCGCUAAGUCGAACGUGAAAUCCCCGAGCUCAACUCGGGAACUGCGUCCGAUACUGGUGGGCUUGAAUCCGGGAGAGGGAUGCGGAAUUCCAGGUGUAGCGGUGAAAUGCGUAGAUAUCUGGAGGAACACCGGUGGCGAAGGCGGCAUCCUGGACCGGCAUUGACGCUGAGGCGCGAAAGCUAGGGGAGCAAACGGGAUUAGAUACCCCGGUAGUCCUAGCCCUAAACGAUGAAUGCUUGGUGUGGCGGGUAUCGAUCCCUGCCGUGCCGAAGCUAACGCAUUAAGCAUUCCGCCUGGGGAGUACGGUCGCAAGGCUGAAACUCAAAGAAAUUGACGGA
RNAcentral lists this ribosomal RNA (561 nucleotides) under uncultured bacterium. RNAcentral describes it as "bacterial SSU rRNA". It matches the Rfam family "Bacterial small subunit ribosomal RNA", at positions 365 to 917 of the family's 1533-position model. The record is from RNAcentral.